Molecule: transfer RNA, 110 nt
Filed under: Burkholderia thailandensis
Lineage: Bacteria; Pseudomonadati; Pseudomonadota; Betaproteobacteria; Burkholderiales; Burkholderiaceae
Also listed under: 9 other names
Description: tRNA-Und (NNN) (tRNA-Und-NNN-1-1)
Rfam family: transfer-messenger RNA
About the family: Bacterial tmRNA, also known as 10Sa RNA or SsrA, is named for its dual tRNA and mRNA-like properties. Its role is to liberate the mRNA from a stalled ribosome. To accomplish this part of the tmRNA is used as a reading frame that ends in a translation stop signal.
Source: RNAcentral
GGAGCGUGUUCGUCCGCGACGUCACGGUUAAAUCAAACGACAGAACUAAACAUGUAGAACUGGUCGUGGACCGCUUCUGGACGCGGGUUCGAUUCCCGCCGCCUCCACCA